Long non-coding RNA from Thunnus maccoyii (southern bluefin tuna), 1254 nucleotides. RefSeq lists it as uncharacterized. Lineage: Eukaryota; Metazoa; Chordata; Actinopteri; Scombriformes; Scombridae. The record is from RefSeq and is a predicted model, not a curated record. The transcript is spliced from 4 exons.
UAAAUUAAUUUAACAAAAACACGACAUAAAUCACCAGAAGACGAACAAACAAUAAACACAGAUCAAACUGAACACAUUAAGUCACAGUAAAACAACCCAACACAAACACAUACCAUAUAUCAUCACAACAUAUAUCAGCAGGCCUAACAACCUGUAUAAGCAACAAAACAUUAAAGGAUAAAAAGAACAAAUAUUUCAAAUUCUACACCAAAUGUUUUUUUUUUAGUUAAAUACAAACUUUCUACCAGCCAUCCACUUCAAUAAACCUUUCCCACCUUUCUAAAUGUUUUUUCUAAUAUCAUCAUUUGUGUUUGUGAUAUAUCCUUAUAGAAUCCGGUCUUUAAGUCGUGACAAAUCAACCAUUUCCGGGUUCCAGCUGGAAAUGGCCGGUCCCAGCCUCUCGUCUUUUCAGCAGUGUCCCUUGUUGUUUGAAUGGAUCUGAAUCAAAGAAAAAAAUAUAUAUAUAUAUGCGAGCAAAGCAGAGCCCAGAAGUCUCCAUCAUCAGCUUCAGACCCCGGGGACAGGAGAAAUCACAUUAUAUCUGCUGUCACACAAAGUCACUGUCAAGGUGUGGUAGAGAGAGCACACAGCAGCUCUGGUGUGAUGCUGGAGACCCAGAAAUACCUCAGAUGCCUCAUCUCAGCUCCCGGCUAAAACCAAGCUGCAAUUCUAACAAAGGGACGGUGUCUCGGGAGUGGGCGCAGAGAGAGAGAGAAAAAGAGGGAGAAAAUAUGUUGUUGGUUGACUGUGGUGCUGUUACUUUUUCUCCCAACUGCAAACUAAAGAAUAUCCAGUAGUUAGGAUGAGUUUGUCAUUGUUUAAGGCCCUUUAGGGAUUGUAUCUCAUAAACCUUUCAUAGAGUGUUUCCAGCGAAUGUGAGGCAUUUUUUAAUUCCAAAGUCUUUGAUUCUCUGGAGAAAACCAAGACACUGGAGCUUGCCACAGCGUGCUUAUACUGUAUCUGUGCCCGCCAUCUGAAUUCCCAGGGAACUUAAAAGCACACGCUUUGUUAUUCAUGAUCACUGUAAGUUUCCAUGGGUUGUUUGGCUUUCUCAUCCAAUUUAUGUGUUCAACUUGUUAGUCAUUCAGCACAGCGUGCUGGUUACAGAUGUUAAUGACACAUCGGUUUAGAUUGUUAUUCAGUACAUUAACAUCCAACAGAGACUGUCGGCUCGACACACCCCGGACCUCUGGCUCUCUCUAACUCCCGUGGUAAUGCCAGCCCACCCCUCCAGCCCACCUUGCACUCCCUCAC